CUAGUGGCGCACGGGUGCGUAACGCGUGGGAAUCUGCCCUUAGGUACGGAAUAACAGUGAGAAAUUACUGCUAAUACCGUAUGAUGUCUUCGGACCAAAGAUUUAUCGCCUAGGGAUGAGCCCGCGUAGGAUUAGCUAGUUGGUGGGGUAAAGGCCUACCAAGGCUACGAUCCUUAGCUGGUCUGAGAGGAUGAUCAGCCACACUGGGACUGAGACACGGCCCAGACUCCUACGGGAGGCAGCAGUGGGGAAUAUUGGACAAUGGGCGAAAGCCUGAUCCAGCAAUGCCGCGUGAGUGAAGAAGGCCUUCGGGUUGUAAAGCUCUUUUACCCGGGAAGAUAAUGACUGUACCGGGAGAAUAAGCCCCGGCUAACUCCGUGCCAGCAGCCGCGGUAAUACGGAGGGGGCUAGCGUUGUUCGGAAUUACUGGGCGUAAAGCGUACGUAGGCGG
RNAcentral lists this ribosomal RNA (451 nucleotides) under uncultured Sandarakinorhabdus sp. RNAcentral describes it as "bacterial SSU rRNA". It matches the Rfam family "Bacterial small subunit ribosomal RNA", at positions 92 to 578 of the family's 1533-position model. The record is from RNAcentral. Lineage: Bacteria; Pseudomonadati; Pseudomonadota; Alphaproteobacteria; Sphingomonadales; Sphingosinicellaceae.